AUUGAACGCUGGCGGCAUGCUUUACACAUGCAAGUCGGACGGCAGCGGGGGUGCUUGCACCUGCCGGCGAGUGGCGAACGGGUGAGUAACAUAUUGGAAUGUACCGAGUAGUGGGGGAUAACCAAUCGAAAGAUUGGCUAAUACCGCAUACGUCCUGAGGGGGAAAGCAGGGGAUCUUCGGACCUUGCGCUAUUUGAGCAGCCAAUAUCUGAUUAGCUAGUUGGUGGGGUAAGGGCCCACCAAGGCGACGAUCAGUAGCGGGUCUGAGAGGAUGAUCCGCCACACUGGGACUGAGACACGGCCCAGACUCCUACGGGAGGCAGCAGUGGGGAAUUUUGGACAAUGGGGGCAACCCUGAUCCAGCCAUGCCGCGUGUCUGAAGAAGGCCUUCGGGUUGUAAAGGACUUUUGUUAGGGAAGAAAAGGGAAGUGUUAAUACCACUUUUUGCUGACGGUACCUAAAGAAUAAGCACCG
Molecule: ribosomal RNA, 474 nt
Filed under: Kingella denitrificans
Lineage: Bacteria; Pseudomonadati; Pseudomonadota; Betaproteobacteria; Neisseriales; Neisseriaceae
Description: bacterial SSU rRNA
Rfam family: Bacterial small subunit ribosomal RNA
Source: RNAcentral